GACGAACCGAGCGAACGUUGUUCGGAAUCACUGGGCUUAAAGGGCGCGUAGGCGGGUGCUCAAGUCCGGGGUGAAAUCCUCCAGCUCAACUGGAGAACUGCCUCGGAUACUGGGUGCCUCGAGGGUGGUAGGGGUAUGCGGAACUAUCGGUGGAGCGGUGAAAUGCGUUGAUAUCGAUAGGAACUCCGGUGGCGAAGGCGGCGACCUGGGUCGAUACUGACGCUGAUGCGCGAAAGCGUGGGGAGCAAACAGG
This 253-nucleotide ribosomal RNA is filed under the name uncultured bacterium. RNAcentral describes it as "partial 16S ribosomal RNA". It matches the Rfam family "Bacterial small subunit ribosomal RNA", at positions 524 to 776 of the family's 1533-position model. The record is from RNAcentral.